UACAGAGGGUGCAAGCGUUAAUCGGAAUUACUGGGCGUAAAGGGUGCGUAGGUGGUUUUUUAAGUCAGAUGUGAAAACCCUGGGCUUAACCUAGGAACUGCAUUUGAAACUGAAGAACUAGAGUGUGGAAGAGGGAAGUGGAAUUUCCGGUGUAGCGGUGAAAUGCGUAGAUAUCGGAAGGAACAUCAGUGGCGAAGGCGACUUCCUGGUCCAUUACUGACACUGAGGCACGAAAGCGUGGGGAGCAAACAGG
This 253-nucleotide ribosomal RNA is filed under the name uncultured bacterium. Its description in RNAcentral is "partial 16S ribosomal RNA". It matches the Rfam family "Bacterial small subunit ribosomal RNA", at positions 524 to 776 of the family's 1533-position model. The record is from RNAcentral.